Molecule: ribosomal RNA, 253 nt
Filed under: uncultured bacterium
Lineage: Bacteria
Description: partial 16S ribosomal RNA
Rfam family: Bacterial small subunit ribosomal RNA
Source: RNAcentral
UACGUAGGGUCCGAGCGUUGUCCGGAAUUAUUGGGCGUAAAGGGCUCGUAGGCGGUUUGUCGCGUCGGGAGUGAAAACAUCUGGCUUAACUGGGUGCUUGCUUUCGAUACGGGCAGACUGGAGGUAUGCAGGGGAGAACGGAAUUCCUGGUGUAGCGGUGAAAUGCGCAGAUAUCAGGAAGAACACCCGUGGCUAAGGCGGCUCUCUAGUACGGUACUGACGCUGAGACGCGAAAGCGUGGGGAGCGAACAGG